AGUCGAAGCGGGUUGGGAAAUGGUGUGACGAAAACGCAUAUCACAGCCAGCUUUGACGAG
RNAcentral lists this microRNA precursor (60 nucleotides) under Triops cancriformis. RNAcentral's name for it is "microRNA tcf-mir-2b precursor". Its record names the gene tcf-mir-2b. Lineage: Eukaryota; Metazoa; Arthropoda; Branchiopoda; Notostraca; Triopsidae. The record is from miRBase by way of RNAcentral.